AGAGUUUGAUCAUGGCUCAGGACGAACGCUGGCGGCGUGCUUAACACAUGCAAGUCGAACGAUGAAGCCCUAGCUUGCUGGGGUGGAUUAGUGGCGAACGGGUGAGUAAUACGUGAGUAACCUGCCCCCUUCUUUGGGAUAAGCCUUGGAAACGGGGUCUAAUACUGGAUAUUCUGCUUCUGCCGCAUGGUGGGGGUUGGAAAGGUUUUCUGGUGGGGGAUGGGCUCACGGCCUAUCAGCUUGUUGGUGGGGUGAUGGCCUACCAAGGCGUCGACGGGUAGCCGGCCUGAGAGGGUGACCGGCCACAUUGGGACUGAGAUACGGCCCAGACUCCUACGGGAGGCAGCAGUGGGGAAUAUUGCACAAUGGACGCAAGUCUGAUGCAGCGACGCCGCGUGGGGGAUGAAGGCUUUCGGGUUGUAAACUCCUUUUAACACUGAACAAGGCUUUUUGUUGAGGGUAGGUGUUGAAUAAGCGCCGGCUAACUACGUGCCAGCAGCCGCGGUAAUACGUAGGGCGCGAGCGUUGUCCGGAAUUAUUGGGCGUAAAGAGCUCGUAGGCGGUUUGUCGCGUCUGCUGUGAAAGACCGGGGCUUAACUCCGGGGCUGCAGUGGGUACGGGCAGACUAGAGUGCGGUAGGGGUAACUGGAAUUCCUGGUGUAGCGGUGGAAUGCGCAGAUAUCAGGAGGAACACCGAUGGCGAAGGCAGGUUACUGGGCCGUUACUGACGCUGAGGAGCGAAAGCAUGGGGAGCGAACAGGAUUAGAUACCCUGGUAGUCCAUGCCGUAAACGUUGGGCACUAGGUGUGGGGCCUAUUUCCAUGGGUUCUGUACCGUAGCUAACGCAUUAAGUGC
Molecule: ribosomal RNA, 855 nt
Filed under: uncultured bacterium
Lineage: Bacteria
Description: bacterial SSU rRNA
Rfam family: Bacterial small subunit ribosomal RNA
Source: RNAcentral